RNAcentral lists this ribosomal RNA (253 nucleotides) under uncultured bacterium. RNAcentral's name for it is "partial 16S ribosomal RNA". It matches the Rfam family "Bacterial small subunit ribosomal RNA", at positions 524 to 776 of the family's 1533-position model. The record is from RNAcentral.
UACGUAGGGUGCAGGCGUUAAUCGGAAUUACUGGGCGUAAAGCGUGCGCAGGCGGUUUCUUAAGUCAGAUGUGGAAGCCCCGGGCUUAACCUGGGAACUGCGUUUGAAACUGGGAGACUUGAGUGUGGCAGAGGGGGGUGGAAUUCCACGUGUAGCAGUGAAAUGCGUAGAUAUGUGGAGGAACACCAAUGGCGAAGGCAGCCCCCUGGGUCAACACUGACGCUCAUGCACGAAAGCGUGGGGAGCAAACAGG